CACGUAGGGGGCAAGCGUUGUCCGGAUUCAUUGGGCGUAAAGAGCUCGUAGGCGGCUCGGCAAGUCGGGUGUGAAACCUCCAGGCUCAACCUGGAGACGCCACUCGAUACUGCUGUGGCUAGAGUCCAGUAGGGGAGCGUGGAAUUCCCGGUGUAGAGGUGAAAUUCGUAGAUAUCGGGAGGAACACCGGUGGCGAAGGCGGCGACCUGGGUCGAGACUGACGCUGAGGCGCGAAAGCGUGGGGAGCAAACAGG
Molecule: ribosomal RNA, 254 nt
Filed under: uncultured bacterium
Lineage: Bacteria
Description: partial 16S ribosomal RNA
Rfam family: Bacterial small subunit ribosomal RNA
Source: RNAcentral